This 210-nucleotide long non-coding RNA is filed under the name Phoenix dactylifera (date palm). RNAcentral's name for it is "long non-coding RNA (PDAC_LNC011496)". Lineage: Eukaryota; Viridiplantae; Streptophyta; Magnoliopsida; Arecales; Arecaceae. The record is from RNAcentral.
AGGUGGAGAAACGAUCAUCCUCAACAGUCACACCAUUCAUCUCCUCCACCUACACAUCCUACUUUUGCAUCACCACCCUCCCAAAAGCCGAAUAUCGAGGAUACCUUGCAAUCUAUACAAACUUUUCUACAAGGUCAAGCUAAUAUCAAUGCUCAAAAUACUCGAAAUUUUGAAGAUAUAAGGAACCAAUUGUCAAUGUUGACUACCGUC